This 565-nucleotide ribosomal RNA is filed under the name Otidea rainierensis. RNAcentral describes it as "LSU rRNA". It matches the Rfam family "Eukaryotic large subunit ribosomal RNA", at positions 66 to 640 of the family's 3401-position model. The record is from RNAcentral. Lineage: Eukaryota; Fungi; Ascomycota; Pezizomycetes; Pezizales; Pyronemataceae.
CAACAGGGAUUGCCUUAGUAACUGCGAGUGAAGCGGCAAAAGCUCAAAUUUGAAAUCUGACGUUUUUGACGUCCGAGUUGUAAUUUGGAGGGAUAUCUUCGGAGCUGGCGCUGUCCUAAGUUCUUUGGAACCAGACAUCAUAGAGGGUGAGAAUCCCGUGCCUGGAUAGCUGUCCUGCUCCAUGUGAAGUGUCUCCGACGAGUCGAGUUGUUUGGGAAUGCAGCUCAAAAUGGGUGGUAAAUUUCAUCUAAAGCUAAAUAUUGGCGAGAGACCGAUGCGCACAAGUAGAGUGAUCGAAAGAUGAAAAGCACUUUGAAAAGAGAGUUAAAUAGUACGUGAAAUUGUUGAAAGGGAAGCGCUUGGGACUAUAUACAGCCGGCUGUGAUCAGCCACGUUUUUACGUGGUGCACUACAAGUCGGUUGAGCCAGCAUCGGUUCUGACGGCGGGAUAAAGGUUUCAGGAAUGUGGCUCCCCAAUUAUCGGGAGUGUUAAAGCCUGGAGCGCAAUGCCGCCAGUUGGGACCGAGGCUAGCGCGGAUUCGCAUGGAUGCUGGCUAAAUGGUCU